This 23-nucleotide microRNA is filed under the name Gadus morhua (Atlantic cod). Its description in RNAcentral is "gmo-miR-27d-5p". Its record names the gene gmo-miR-27d-5p. Lineage: Eukaryota; Metazoa; Chordata; Actinopteri; Gadiformes; Gadidae. The record is from miRBase by way of RNAcentral.
AGGACUUAGCUCGCUUUGUGAAC